GGGGAGGGGCGGGGACAGCGGCUCAGUGGUGUGGAGUCCGCCGCGCGGUGUAGGCAGGGGCGAUUUUAUUUCCACUUAUUCCCUGCUACCUCGAAGGAGUAUAGGAUUUGUUUGCUUGUGAACAGGAAGGAAGAUAUUUCUUCCUGGUUUUCAUUUUCCUCCACCCGCAUCCACCCUCUGGUUGUUGGAUCUGAAUUUUUGUCAAUACCACGGCUGCUCAAUGAGGUCUUUUGGCUGCAAUUUGAAGUUACAGUCACAAGUGAAGUCGAUUCUAUUUUCUUUAGAACAGAAUAUUCUAGUGAAUAUUUUUGUUAGUGACCUUCAGAAUUGCCUGUUCACGUCCUUUGCCCAUUUUUCUAUUUACGCAGACAAAGCGAUCCAUCUUUUCCUUCUGGUUUGCCCCUGUUAAAGAAGCCUUCCCCUCUCCCCGCAUCAUAAAGCUGGGUUUUCUGUGCCUUCUCCAAAAGCCCCAUCUUGGUUUCCCUCGGUCCCUGUAGGUCUUUAGUUCAUUUGAACUUAUUUGGAGGCCUUCUGGAAGACAGGGAUCUCCUUUGUCUUCUGCAUAUGGACAGCCAAUUGUCACCUAACCGAUUAUUGAAGCGUCGGUCUCCUCCGCCUCCGCAACACUCCAAGCCCGCGCCCAGAUCGCGGGCCGCCUCUGGCCUCUCUUCUGCUCGGCUGGGCGGUGCGUCCCAGUCUGGCUGGCUUUCUCCUGGGGCUGCUGCAGAGGCGCUAAACCACCGCCGCCAAGACUCACGCUCAGACAAUGUUUUUUUGCUUUCUUUUCUCUCUUUUUAAGAGAACUCGGCCGCCUUCUAGCGCCGACCGCUAGGAAUCCCCUGGGCUUCUUUAGAAGAGUCUGGCUUGCCCCACGCCCACCCCCUCCCCGGCCUCAGCUCAGUUUCCCUCCCUUCGCCCUACACAGGCUGCCCGCUUGUUUCCUCCAGCCAGGCUGAGAGACGAUCCCGAGCAGCCGCCUGCAGGACGGGCUGCUUCGCCCUUUCAGGGAGGGUUUGGCUGCACCCUUUGAAGUUUGAAGGUGGGGUGCACGCUCCACCGUUAGCCUCGCGCCUCCCCUCUCGGCCAGAGUCGCUCCUCCAGGGCCAGCUGCCCUCAGAGGCUGUGCCAGGCCCCUCUCUGAGUGUGCCCGGGUGAAGAGGAAGGCUUCAGAGAUGAGAGUCAACCUGCCAGGCCUCCCUCCUGAUGUGGGGAACGUCCUUCAAACCCCGUUUUAUAGGCGAACAGGUCAGAACGUGUGAAUUUCUCUGAGUUGGAGAAGUCGCAGAGUCAGUUUCCUCUAAGAAGCCACCUCUGACCAGCGAAAGGCUCCUCCUAGUCUGUAGACGCGGACUGGAAACGGGUGCUUGUGUACAUCAGGAGAGCGGAAUGUGAAUGCUCCUGGGUGGUAGCAGGUGGAAAAGACAUUAUUUGGGCUGCACCUUCAUUUCUGUCUUUUCCUGGACACCUGACCUGCCAUUUUUCAGGAGCUCAGCUGAGAGCGCGGCCAUAGAGAAGCAGACUGCAGAAGCCCAGGAAGGAGAAAGCGGCAAACAGCCAGUGGGGCGGCAUCUGAGGCUGCGGGGAGAUGGUGGAUAAGGAGACGCCAGAGGAACCUUUGGGUCCGGGGGAGCGUGGUGACUUUGGUGAGGACGGUGAUCCUGGGCCAUGGGAGGAAAACCCAGAUUCCAAAAGGUUACUUACCCUUACACAUAGUUGGCGCUAACGAAAUCAUAUUUUGUCAUUUGAGAAAUUAUAAAAUUGAAACAUGAGUGGAAAAUAACAAGGUGAGCAGGGACUAUAUAGACUUUAAAACAAGGAUUUUAGCCCUGGCUGGUGUAGCUCAGUGGAUUGAGCGUGGGCCUGCGAACCAGAUGAUCGAGGUUCAAUUCCCAGUCAGGGCACAUGCCUGGGUUGCAGGCCAGUUCCCUGCAGGUCAGUUCCCAGCAGGGGAGGCACAAAAGGCAACCAUACACUGAUGUUUCUCUCCCUCUUUCCUUCCCUUCCCCUCUAAAGAUAAAUAAAUAAACUCUUUAAAAAGAAAAAGAAGAUACAUAUUUUAAAAAAAACAA
Molecule: long non-coding RNA, 2069 nt
Organism: Artibeus jamaicensis (Jamaican fruit-eating bat)
Lineage: Eukaryota; Metazoa; Chordata; Mammalia; Chiroptera; Phyllostomidae
Exons: 5
Source: RefSeq, a predicted model, not a curated record